AAAUCAUGGUGUGGGCAUUGAGCUUGGUAGCCCUUGAAUCUCUCCCAGGCUUCACUGAAGCCUUCCAAGUUCUUCUGUUGAAAGCUGGAAAUCUUAUUUCUCAGCUU
Molecule: small nucleolar RNA, 107 nt
Filed under: Brassica napus (rape)
Lineage: Eukaryota; Viridiplantae; Streptophyta; Magnoliopsida; Brassicales; Brassicaceae
Description: Plant small nucleolar RNA R71
Rfam family: Plant small nucleolar RNA R71
About the family: R71 is a member of the C/D box family of snoRNAs containing the C (UGAUGA) and D (CUGA) box motifs.
Source: Rfam by way of RNAcentral